Molecule: long non-coding RNA, 280 nt
Organism: Myotis brandtii (Brandt's bat)
Lineage: Eukaryota; Metazoa; Chordata; Mammalia; Chiroptera; Vespertilionidae
Exons: 3
Source: RefSeq, a predicted model, not a curated record
GGGGUUCCUGUUGGCAUUGAAUCAGCGCCAAGCACCAUGAGUUGACAAUGUCAAUUAAAUUUAGCCUCGUCAGGCAGCCUGGAGCCACAGUGGAGCCGCGGCUUUGGGAUCAGACAGCUUGGUUAUGGGAUCUGGCCUUACCAUACUUACUGUUGAACUUGGGCAUGACCCGGCCCCAAUCCCGAGGCUAAAGAUUGUGAGCAUGGAAAGGUCACAGGAGGCUUCAUAAAGGGCCAUUGGACUGAGCAUCGAGACACGCACGCGAGAAAUUCAAUGCAUG